AGGACGAACGCUGGCGGCGUGCUUAACACAUGCAAGUGGAGCGACGAACCAGGCUUCGGCCUGGGGCAGAGCCGCGGACGGGUGAGUAACACGUGGGUAACCCACCCCGAUGACCGGGACAACCCGAGGAAACUCGGGCUAAUACCGGAUGAGCUCUCAUCUCAUGAGGGAUGAGAGGAAAGAUAGCUUUGGCCUUCGCAUCGGGACGGCCCGCGGCGCAUUAGCUUGUUGGUGGGUAAAGGCCUACCAAGGCGACGAUGCGUAGCUGGUCUGAGAGGACGAUCAGCCACACUGGGACUGAGACACGGCCCAGACUCCUACGGGAGCAGCAGGUGGGAAUCUGCACAAUGCGCGAAAGCGUGAUGCAGCAACGCGCGUGGGGAAGAAGGCCUUCGGUGUAACCCUUGAGUUGGACGAAGCUCGCCGGUUAAUGCCGGCUGAGUG
RNAcentral lists this ribosomal RNA (444 nucleotides) under uncultured soil bacterium. Its description in RNAcentral is "bacterial SSU rRNA". It matches the Rfam family "Bacterial small subunit ribosomal RNA", at positions 26 to 471 of the family's 1533-position model. The record is from RNAcentral.